AUGGUUGUAAAAAUAAAAAAAUAAAAAAAUCACAAAGUUCUUUGGGAACAUAAGAUUAUAAGGCAACACGAGGCCCACUGCAGACGAGGGGGAUCUUACGUCGCAAAUUAAAGAAUCUAGAGAUAUCCCACCAAAGAUUCGUCGGGGUCUCUCUUGCAGAUGAGGCGCGGGGCUGGCGUUCCUAAUCGCGGCACCAAGGCCCAUGAGCGGCUCCAGCAUUCC
RNAcentral lists this long non-coding RNA (222 nucleotides) under Physcomitrium patens. RNAcentral describes it as "long non-coding RNA (PPAT_LNC002023)". The record is from RNAcentral. Lineage: Eukaryota; Viridiplantae; Streptophyta; Bryopsida; Funariales; Funariaceae.